Molecule: long non-coding RNA, 708 nt
Organism: Apodemus sylvaticus (European woodmouse)
Lineage: Eukaryota; Metazoa; Chordata; Mammalia; Rodentia; Muridae
Exons: 3
Source: RefSeq, a predicted model, not a curated record
CAGACGGAGGAGGAACCCAGCACGGCCCAACCUUUAAAAAAAUCCAAGACCGGCAAGGGAGAUGCGGGCAGAAUAGGCCCCACUGCUCCUGGGUUCUCCAUUUCCUUGUCUGUCUUCAGAUGGCAGCAACCCUGCCCACGCGGGCUGGGCUUAAGGCCUGGAGGUGGUGACCCUGGCUGCCCCUUUCCUGGACCAGGUUCCAUGAACGGCCAGGCACUGGGGUGUGACUAGAGAGAACAGAUGAGCUGAGGACAAGCCCAGUGUUCACCACCCAACUGGAGACUGCCACCCACAUCAGCUACCAACAAGAAGACCGUGGCCUCCCACCUUGAUCUGAGCCAGCAGGUUUUUGAGGGUCGUAUACAGUUGGUCAGGGUCCUUAAGCUCCUUGCUGGAAAUGAGAGAGACCAAGUCUGAGCCUGUCUCUCCUGCAAAGGAGAAGAAAACAUCCCUCAGAAUGCCUGCCUGUGCCCUGAGAAUGCCCUCCUGCCCCUUCAGCCAAGGCCCCUGCUCACGGAUGCCUGGGACGCUCUCCACAGGGAUCUGCCUUACUCCCUCUUUGAAGCAGCUGAGUCCAGGGUAGACCUUGCGGAUCUGUGCCUGUUUGCGCUCAAUCAACUUCUUGAUGAUCUGAGGAAGCAAGGGUCUGAGGGGGCCACCUCAGGCCCAGUCACCCCCAAGACCAUGGUCAAUAAAUGGUGACAUUCA